Molecule: ribosomal RNA, 564 nt
Filed under: uncultured Bifidobacterium sp.
Lineage: Bacteria; Bacillati; Actinomycetota; Actinomycetes; Bifidobacteriales; Bifidobacteriaceae
Description: bacterial SSU rRNA
Rfam family: Bacterial small subunit ribosomal RNA
Source: RNAcentral
UCUCCUGGAAACGGGUGGUAAUGCCGGAUGUUCCACAUGAGCGCAUGCGAGUGUGGGAAAGGCUUUUUGCGGCAUGGGAUGGGGUCGCGUCCUAUCAGCUUGUUGGUGGGGUAACGGCCUACCAAGGCGUUGACGGGUAGCCGGCCUGAGAGGGCGACCGGCCACAUUGGGACUGAGAUACGGCCCAGACUCCUACGGGAGGCAGCAGUGGGGAAUAUUGCACAAUGGGCGCAAGCCUGAUGCAGCGACGCCGCGUGCGGGAUGGAGGCCUUCGGGUUGUAAACCGCUUUUGUUCAAGGGCAAGGCACGGUUUCGGCCGUGUUGAGUGGAUUGUUCGAAUAAGCACCGGCUAACUACGUGCCGGCAGCCGCGGUAAUACGUAGGGUGCAAGCGUUAUCCGGAUUUAUUGGGCGUAAAGGGCUCGUAGGCGGUUCGUCGCGUCCGGUGUGAAAGUCCAUCGCUUAACGGUGGAUCCGCGCCGGGUACGGGCGGGCUUGAGUGCGGUAGGGGAGACUGGAAUUCCCGGUGUAACGGUGGAAUGUGUAGAUAUCGGGAAGAACACCA